UAGGGAAUCUUCGGCAAUGGGGGCAACCCUGACCGAGCAACGCCGCGUGAGUGAAGAAGGUUUUCGGAUCGUAAAGCUCUGUUGUAAGUCAAGAACGGGUGUGAGAGUGGAAAGUUCACACUGUGACGGUAGCUUACCAGAAAGGGACGGCUAACUACGUGCCAGCAGCCGCGGUAAUACGUAGGUCCCGAGCGUUGUCCGGAUUUAUUGGGCGUAAAGCGAGCGCAGGCGGUUUGAUAAGUCUGAAGUUAAAGGCUGUGGCUCAACCAUAGUUCGCUUUGGAAACUGUCAAACUUGAGUGCAGAAGGGGAGAGUGGAAUUCCAUGUGUAGCGGUGAAAUGCGUAGAUAUAUGGAGGAACACCGGUGACGAAAGCGGCUCUCUGGUCUGUAACUGACGCUGAGGCUCGAAAGCGUGGGGAGCGAACAGGAUUAGAUACCCUGGUAGUCCACGCCGUAAACGAUGAGUGCUAGGUGUUGGAUCCUUUCCGGGAUUCAGUGCCGCAGCUAACGCAUUAAGCACUCCGCCUGGGGAGUACGACCGCAAGGUUGAAACUCUAAAGUGAAUU
This 567-nucleotide ribosomal RNA is filed under the name uncultured bacterium. RNAcentral's name for it is "partial 16S ribosomal RNA". It matches the Rfam family "Bacterial small subunit ribosomal RNA", at positions 355 to 911 of the family's 1533-position model. The record is from RNAcentral.